Molecule: ribosomal RNA, 119 nt
Filed under: Smithella sp. D17
Lineage: Bacteria; Pseudomonadati; Thermodesulfobacteriota; Syntrophia; Syntrophales; Smithellaceae
Source: RNAcentral
UUCGGUGGCUAUCGCGAGGAGGUCACACCCGUUCCCAUCUCGAACACGGAAGUUAAGCUCCUUUGCGCUGAUGGUACUGCAUGGGCGACUGUGUGGGAGAGUAGGUGCUGCCGGAUUUA